RNAcentral lists this ribosomal RNA (311 nucleotides) under uncultured Glomus. RNAcentral's name for it is "SSU rRNA". It matches the Rfam family "Eukaryotic small subunit ribosomal RNA", at positions 570 to 886 of the family's 1831-position model. The record is from RNAcentral. Lineage: Eukaryota; Fungi; Glomeromycota; Glomeromycetes; Glomerales; Glomeraceae.
GCAGCCGCGGUAAUUCCAGCUCCAAUAGCGUAUAUUAAAGUUGUUGCAGUUAAAAAGCUCGUAGUUGAAUUUCGGGGUUAGUAAGUUGGUCAUGCCUUCGGUAUGUACUGGCUUUACUGAUUCCUCCUUCUUGACGAACCGUGAUGUCAUUAAUUUGGUGUUGCGGGAAAUCAGGACUGUUACUUUGAAAAAAUUAGAGUGUUUAAAGCAGGCUAACGCUUGAAUACAUUAGCAUGGAAUAAUGAAAUAGGACGUUAAUCCUAUUUUGUUGGUUUCUAGGAUCGACGUAAUGAUUAAUAGGGAUAGUUGGG